AUCCAUCUGACGUGUCCCAAAUAGGGAGAAAGGCGAGUCAUGGAU
Non-coding RNA from Schistosoma curassoni, 45 nucleotides. The record is from Rfam. Lineage: Eukaryota; Metazoa; Platyhelminthes; Trematoda; Strigeidida; Schistosomatidae.